CUGGGCUCAUAAGAUCAUUAUCCAUCUACAACAUCAAAUUGGGGUUUUCUCUCAAAGAUAAUCCCCAAGAAGAAGAAACCCUAGGUGUUUAAUUUCAAGUCAAGAAUUCAAGUUUUUCUCCAUCAAUCUUUAAGAAAUCAUCCAUCCAGGUAUGUAACGUGUUAAUUCAUGAGUCCCUUUCACCCAUGAAGCUCAAGACUCUCUUUUUAAAAUCCAAGAUUUGUUUAUUUAUGAAUGUUCAUGAUUUAAAUUGUAUUGAAAUUCAUAUUCAUGAUAUUCUGGGGUUUUGAUUCAUGUUUGAAAUUACAUAUUCUAAUGAUUAACCCUAGGAUAUGGUGAUUUUUUUAAUAAUCAUGAUAAACCCUUAAAUUUACACAUUGAUUGAUGUAUCUAUGAUUAUUAGAUUUUUUGAUGAUUGUAUAACCAAAGCAUGCUCCUCCAUGUGUUCGAUUAAAUGCCUAUGUGAAGGAAAAGUGCCAUACUAGUAUAAUAAUAUGAAAUCCCCAUUGAUGUACAAGUUCAUGCAUGUCAAGGGUUUGAUGAAAUGUCUUAGUCAAUGAGUAAUGGAUAUAUGUGUGGCUAUUGUGGUGCUUUAGAACUUUUACAUGAUGAAUUCUCCAACUUAUUAUAUUAUGGAUUGUUGAUGUGGUCAUGUAUUCAAGAAAGUAAUGCUUUGUCAGUUUCUUUCCAUCGACUCCUGGGGGUACUUGUACCCAAAAAUUUAGCUUUGUGCCUAGAAUCAGUGUCAUGUUUUCAAGAUGCUCUCAGUCAAGCCAUGAUACAUAGACUUCAGUCAGUCUCAUGACUCAAGAAAACUCAAUAAUCUCAGUAGUAUUCCGUUAGUCAACAGAACUCAGUUAACUCACUCCAGUAAGUUUAGUUAAUCAUGUUCAGUGUCUAUCCAGAUGGGAGUAGAAAUUAUCACCGAGCGAACCCAAGGAUGGGAACCCACCUGUUAUAUGAAGGUGUAAUUCUUAGACAUAAUCCUUGCAUUCCAGAACUACAUAGCAAACGUAAGUUGAGACAUCAUAGCCUAUUAUAUGAGGGUAGAUGAGGUGGCUUAACCUGUUAUAUGUGGGUUCCCACUAUUCUCACCAAAGUCACCUGUUACAUAAGGUUUACUCAGAAAUUGUCCUUACUAGUGGCGUGGUAUUGAUAGAUUGGACCACAACUCAGCUAUAUUGCGUUAUUUGGGGUAUGUUGGUUAGAUGACUAUUCCCACAAUUUCAGUUACAAAAUCAAGAAUGUCAGAUACAGUCAUUCAGUCUCAGUAAUAGAACUCAGAUAGUUCUACAGAAUUUAGGACUGCCAGAUAUAGUCAACUCAGAACAACACAAAACUCAUUUAGUUCCAUCAGAACCUAGGCUUUCAGAUUCAGCCACUCCAAAUUUGUUAUUUCAGCUAUUUAGUAACCAUUAUCUCAUGUUAUCAGUAUUCUGGUUUAGUAAUCAUGUUAUCAUUGAACACAAUUAUAGUUAUUAUGUAUUCAUGCAUACAUUCUGACGUUCAUGUUAUCCAUUCAGUUAGUAUAGUUCAUGCAUGUGAACCUUUUGCAUUCAGCCUACCUCACAUGCAUACCAGUAUAUUCAAACAUACUGACGUAUUUGUGCUAUGGUGUUUUAUACUAUAGGGUCAGAAGCACGAGCCCCAGAGCAUUAGUAGCAUUCCAGUCUCAACAGUUAGAGUUAGCAGUGAUUCCUCAUCCUUCGAGGACAUGAACAUUACCUUAUUAUCUCAUUAAUUAAUUUAUUUUAGUAGUUGGAGUUAGUUUGGGACAUGUCCUAUCAACUCCUUAUUCAGAUAGUUUAGAGGCUUUCAAAUUAGCAUGUUCAAUUAGUUAUUUCAUUUAUUUUGGUAUUGAUAUACUAAAUCUUCAAAUGUUAUGUUUUAUUAGAUCUUUGAACCUUAUGGAUUUUCAUUCUUUCUUUUCGUAUUUAUAUAGUAUAUUAUGCAGUGUAUAGGUACAAAUAUUACUUAUGGGUUAGCUUAUGGUCCUUUGGGGUCAUGAGCCCCGUGUGGUAUUCUGGGUACUAAUUUAGGGCGUUACAAACUUGGUAUCAGAGACUAAGGUUCAAUAGAGUCCUAGGAAGUCUAAAAGCCGCAUCUAGUAGAGUCUUGUACAUGGGUGUGUUGCACGCCAUAUUUAUGUACAAGAGGCUAUAAGAUGUUUUAGAAAUAGUUUCCCUUCUUUUAGUAUUCAUGUCCUGCCAGUGAGUAUAAUCUCAAGAUAAUCUCUCAAUCUAAUCUAUUUUUCCCUUUCUUCUAUAGAUAAUGCCUCCUAAAAUAAGAAAUAGGAAUCAGUCAGCCCCUCAGCUCGAAGAUCCAUUAGGUGAACAUAUUUCUCAUGUAGAGUUCAGAGUUGCAUUCACUACUUUUUCUCAGUUAGUUGCUGCUUAGAAUGAAUGACCAGCUAUCAUUCCAGCCAAACCAGUGGCCAAUUCCGUUGUAACCAAGAUUUGAGACUUCACCUAAAUGAAUCCUCAAUCCUUUUUUGCGUCUAAAUCAGAUGAGGACCCUCAAGAAUUUUCUUGAUCAUGUUUAUAAGGUUAUGUAUAUCAUGGGGGUUACUUCUAGUGAGAGUACAGAGUUAGCUGCAUAUCUGUUGUAGGAUAUUUCUCAUACUUCGUACAAAUAUUGAAAGUCAGAAAGGGCUAUAGAUGCAGGGCCUAUUGAGUAAGAGGAGUUUUCUACUACAUUCUUAGAUAGAUUCUUUUCCCUAAAUUUGAGAGAAGCUAAACUGUUAGAAUUUAUCAACCUCAGGAAAGGCAAAAUAACGGUGAAAGAGUAUUCUCGUAAGUUUACUAAAUUAUCCAGAUAUGCUCCAAAUGUGGUUCUAGAUAGCAGGGAUAAGAUAAGUAAGUUUGUUUCUGGGGUAAAUGAUAGUGUAGUUAAUAAGUAUAGGUCCGCGAUGUUGAAUAGUGACAUAAACAUAGCAAGGCUUAUGACCCAUGCUCAUCAGAUAAAAGAGAAAAAGAUUAAGAUGAGGGUGAAGCAGAAUAAUAAGGAAAAGACAGGUAGUUUCAACUUUGCUCAGCCCAAAUCAGAAAGAGGAAACCGUUAUCAAUUUCGUCCUAAGUCACCAGUUCCAGCUCUUUCUUUAGCUAGUGAUCCAUCUCCUAGAUUCAGAGAUGGAAACAAAGAUAGAGUGUCAGGCUCUAACUCUCAGGGCAUUGUUAGCAGUACCCGCACCUAUUCUCUUUACCAAACUUUUGGCAAGCACCAUCAGGUUAAUUGCAGAGCUGGUAGUGGUAUUUGUUUUGGAUGUAGAAAGCCAGGUCACAAAGUCAGAGACUGUCCUUAGCCAGGUACUCAGGGGCAGCAGAACUGUUCCUCAGCUCAGUCUAGUCACCCAAACCAGCAGGGUGCCACCUCCAGUGCUACUAGUGGGCAAUGCCCAAAUUGACUUUAUGCUCUCCAGUCCCGACAAGAUCAAGAAUAUUCUCCUGAUGUGGUUACUGGUACGUUAUAUAUCUUUUAUAUGCAUGUUUACGCUCUGCUAGAUCUAGGAUCUUUUUUAUCUUUUUUAGUCCCUAUAUAGCAGUCCCAAAAUUCUAGCAUAACCCUUUUUAGUAUCUACCAUAGUGGAAAAAACUAUCAUAGACCGAUAGGUAUACAGGAACUAUCCGAUUAUGAUAUUUCAGAAAGUCACCUUAGCUGAUUUAGUCGAAUUAGAGAUGACUGAUUUUGAUGUCAUUCUCGACAUGGAUUGGCUUCAUUACUGCUAUUCCACAGUCGAUUGCAAAAAUAAAAUAGUCUACUUUUAGUUUCUAAUUGAACCUGUCUAUGAGUGGAGGGGUAACAUUCGUCUUUUAAAGGUCAACUUGUUUCCUACCAUUGGGGAAAAUGAUAUAUAAAGAAUGUGUCUAUCAUCUUGUUUAAGUUAAGGACACUAGUUUUGAAACUCUCAGUCUUGAAUCAGUCCCAGUCGUGAAUGAAUAUUUAAAUGUCCUUCCCAAAGAUCAUUCAGGAAUUCCUCCUAAAAGGGAAAUAAACUUCAGCAUUGAUCUUCUUCCACAUACUCAACCUAUGUCUAUUUCUCCAUACAUAAUGUCACCAGCCGAACUCAUAGAAUUGAAGGAGCACUUAAAAGAUCUCUUAGAUAAGGGAUUCAUCAGGCCCAAUGUGUCCCCAUAGGGCGCACCAAUAUUAUUUAUGCACAAGAAUGAUAGUUCUCUCAGAAUGUGUAUAGACUGCCGUCAGCUCAACAAAGUCAUAGUCAAGAACAAGUAUCCACUUCCCAGAAUCGAUAACUUAUUUGACCAACUGUAGGGUGCCAGUUAUUUCUCUAAGUAGACCUUAGAUCAGACUAUCAUCAGCUCAGAGUUAGAGAAUGUGACAUUUCAAAAAUAGCCUUUCAUAAUCGGUAUGGUCACUUUGAAUUCUUAGUUAUGUCCUUUGUCCUUACCACUUCCCUAACAUUUUCAUGGACUUGAUGAACCAUGUGUUCAAGCAGUACUUGGACAUGUUCAUCAUAUUCUUCAUAGAUGAUAUUCUGGUCUAUUCCCACAGUGAGCGUGAUCAUGCAGACCAACUCAUAAUUGUACUUCAGACUCUCAGAGAUCAUUAACUAUUCACCAAAUGUAGUAAGUGAAAAUUUUGACUAAGGUCAGUAGCAUUUCUUGGUGAUAUCAUUUUCGGUGGUGGCAUUAGAGUUGAUCCUUAAAAGACUGGAGAAGUAAGAAAUUGUCUUCACCCUAUAUCUCCAUCAGAUAUCAGGAGUUUCUUGUGUUUGCCUGGCUAUUACAGAUGGUUUGUUGAGGGAUUUUCUUGUAUUGAAUCCUCUAUGUACAGAUUGACUUAGAACAAAUCAAGUUUCAGUGGUCAGAUCCUUAUGAGAAGAGUUUUUAGGAGUUGAAUACUCGACUCACCUCAACUCCAGUCUUAGCUCUUCAGGAUGGUCCAGAUAGGUUUUUAGUGCAUUGUGAUGAAUCCAGAGUAGGUUUGGGUUAUGUCCUCAUGCAGCAUGGAAAGUUCAUAGCCUAUGCCUUCAGGAAACUUAAGCCCCAUGAAAAGAAUUACCCUACUCAUGAUCUUGAGUUAAUAGCCGUAGUUUUUGCCUUAAAGAUUUGGAGGCAUUAUCUAUAUGGUGUUCAUGUAGAUGUGUUCACAGAUCAUAAGAUCCUUCAUAAUGUCUUUCCUCAAAAAGAUCUCAAUCAUCAUCUGAGAAGGUGGUUUGAUCUUAUGAAAGAUUAUGAUAUGAGUGUCCUUUAUCAUCCGGGCAAGGCCAAUGUUAUGGCCAAUGCUCUCAAUAGACUAUCUAUGUGUAGUGUUGUUCAUGUUGAGGAAAUUAAGAAAAAGUUAGCUUAGGAAAUCCAUCAGGUUACCAAACUAGGAGUUCGCUUAGUAGAUACAGAGGAGGGUAACAUAUGGGUUCAGGGUAAUUCAAAAUCAUCUCUAGUUUUCAAGGUGAAAAAAAGAAAGAUAGAGAUCCCAGUCUAGUCAAGUUUAAACAAUCAGUCAAGGAUCAGAAAUUAGAGGUUUUCUCUUAAGGGGGAGAUGGUGUUCUGCAUUAUUAGGGUCGUCUGUGUGUUCCAGGUGUAGAUGACUUGAGGUAGCAAAUUCUUGCAGAAGCGUAUGGUGCGCGCUACUCUAUUCAUCCAGGGGCCACUAAGAUGUACCACGACUAGAGGAAAAUCUAUUGGUGGAGUGGGAUAAAGAGAGAUAUUGUAGAGUUUGUGGCUAAAUGCUCUAUAUGUCAGCAGGUUAAGUUAGAGCAUUAGAAGCCUAGUGGGUCCAUGCAGAUGUUCUGUAUUCCUACUUGGAAGUAGGAAGAAGUAAACAUGGACUUUGUGACAGGUUUUCCUCAUACUCGUUGCCAGCAUGAUUCAGUUUGGGUUAUUGUGGAUAGGAUGACCAAAUCAGCUCAUUUCCUUUCAGCCCAUACCUCUAAUUCAGCCGAGAAUUAUGACAAACUCAAUGUCAGAGAGUUGGUUAGAUUGCACGGUAUUUUGUUAUCUAUUAUCUCAGAUAGAGGUACCUAGUUCACCUCUCAUUUCUGGAAAGCAUUCCAAAAGGGUCUUGGUAUCCAUGUUAAUCUCAGUACAACCUUUCAUCCUCAGACAGAUGGUCAAGCAGAAAGGACCAUUCAGACUUUAGAAGAUAUUAUAAGGGCGUGUGCAAUCGAUUUCAAGGUUAGUUGGGAUGACCACUUGGCUUUGAUUGGGUUUGCAUACAACAACAGGUAUCAUUCCAGUAUUCGGAUGGCUUUAUUUUAAGCUCUCUAUAGUAGGAGGUGCAGAUCUCUAAUCGGUUGGUUCGAUGUUAGAGAGGCCUCAUUCAUAGGGCCUGACUUAGUAUUUGAUGCCUUAGAAAAUGUCCAAUUGAUUAGAGAAAGACUCCGAGCUGCUCAGCGCCGAUAGAAGUCUAAUGCAGAUGUGUGCAGAAAGGAUCUAGAGUUCGAGAAUUAUGAUUAUGUCUAUCUAAAGAUCUCACUCAUGAAGCGAGUGAAGAUAUUUAUUAAGAAGGGAAAGCUCAGUCCUCAAUAUAUCGAUUAAAAUUCUCAGUCGUUUUAGCAAGGUAGCCUAUGAGCCUAAAUUGCCUUCAGAUAUAGCCUCAGUUCAUCCAGCCUUCCAUGUCUCUUUGCUCAAGAACUACAUAGGUGACAUAGUAGUCAUAGUCCCUAUUCAGAGCAUAAAUUUUCAAAAUAGCCUCUCUUAUAAAGAGAUUCCAGUCGAAAUCCUAGACUAUCAGACUCGUAGACUGAGGAACAAAGAAGUCCCUCUAGUCAAUGUUUUUUGGCAGAAUCAGUUUGUUGAGGGAGCUACUUGGGAAGUAGAAGCAGACAUGCAGACAAAGUAUCCUCACCUCUUCUCCACAAACUUAGAUCUAGCUCAUGGUAAUAGUUCACCUUAAGCUUUUUAGUUUUAUGUUCAGAUUUCAGUGACAAGCUUGGUAUCCAUUUCAUGUUAAGAAUUUCAUUAUGAACUUGGUAUUAAGUACCAUUGAAUAGUCAGUCAUGCAUUCAUGUAUCAGUUCAGUUAUAUAAUAAUGCAUUAGACGUGCAUUCUCAUUAUGAGAAUCUUGGUUCAUUAGAACACUCAGUCAUGUAUUCAUAAAUCAGUUACACAUGCAUCAGAUAUGCAUGAAAUGGGAUCAAGUUCCAGUUAUUCAUGUUCAGUAUGUACGUCUGUAUAUCUUCUCCCCUAUCACUCAGUCUUAUUUGAGGAUAAAUGUUCUCAAGGGGGAGAUAUUAAAAUACCCCGUACUUCUACCUAGCUUGAAAUUGUCCCAAGUAUGUUAGAAACUUGCUUUGAAAGAUGAAUCCAGUUUUAUAUAUGUCGAAUUUUUUUUAAUAUUUUCACUUUUUGUCAUGUGGGAAAUUGAAUUAGCUUUCCAAUGAUACCUAUUUUGUCCAAAUCUAGUAUCAGGGUAGAAAGUUAUGACCGUUUUAUAGAAAGCAGUCAAAACCGUCUAGGUGCGACGGUGAGGGUCGACAGACCAUCAAGCUAGUGACAAACCGUCGCCCAAGCUAUUUCAGCGGAGGAAGUGAGAUCACCUUCUACCUAAGGGAGACGACUCUGGCUGAUAGACCAUCUAGCUGGCGAUAAACCAUUGCCCAAGCCGUUGCAGGAGAGGCAGUGAACCCCUAUUCUACCCAGGUACGACGGUCAGGACUGAAGGAGGAUCGAUCCAGUGAUGAACCUUCUCACCCACCUUUUCAUAGUUUGUUUAGUUAUUUUAAAGUCAUUUUUGAAAGGGUAUUUGGGUCUUUUCCACCCGUUUUAACCACUAAUUAUAUUAGAUCAAGGCUCAUAAGUUCAUUAUCCAUCUAUAACAUCAAAUUAGGAUUUUUUAUCAAAGAUAAUGAACAAGAAACCCUAGGUGUUUAAUCCCAAGUCAAGAAUUUAAGUUUUCCUCCAUCAAUAUUUAAGAAAUCAUCCACCCAGGUAUGUCAUGUGUUGAUUCAUGGGUCCCUUUCACCCAUGAAGCUCAAGAAUCUCUUUUUAAAAUCAAAGAUUGGUGUAUUUAUGAUUGUUCAUGAUUCAAAUUGAAUUGAAAUUUAUGUUCAUGAUGUUUUGGGGUUUUGACUCAUGUUUGAAAUUACAUAUUCCAAUGAUUGACCCUAGGAUAUGGUGAUUUGUAUAAUAAUCAUAAUAAACCCUUAAAUUUACACGUUGAUUGAUGUAUCCGUGAUUAUUAGAUGUGUUGAUGGUUUUAUAAGCAAAGCAUGCUCCCCAUGUGUUCGAUUAAAUGUCUAUGUGAAGGAAAAAUGCCAUACUAGUAUAAUAAUAUGAAAUCCCCAUUCAUGUACAAGUUCAUGCAUGUCAAGUGUUUGAUGAAAUGUCUUAGUCAAUGAGUUAUGGAUAUAUGUGUGGACAUUAUGGUGCUUUAGAGCUUGUACUUCAUGAAUUCUCCAACUGAUUAUAUUAUGGAUUGUUGAUGUGGUCAUGUAUUCAAGAAAGUCAUGCUUUUUAAGUUUUAUCCCAUUGAGUCCUAAGGGUACUUGUACGCGAAAAUUUAGCUGUGAGCCUAGAGUUAGUGUUAUGUUUUCAAGAUACUCUCAGUCAAGCCAUGAUCCAUAGAAUUCAGUCAGUCUUAUGACUCAGGAAAAAUCAGUAAUCUCAGUAGUAUUCUAUGAGUCGAUAGAACUCAGUUAACUCAGUCUAGUCAUUUCAGUUAAUCAUGUUCAGUGUCUAUCCAGAUGGGAGUAGAAAUCAGCACUGAGUAAACCCAAGGAUGGGAACCCAACUGUUAUAUGAGGGUAUGAUUCGUAGAAGCGAUCCUUGCGUUCCAGAACUACGUAGACAACGUAGGUUGAGACAUCAUAUCCUAUUAUAUAAGGGUAGAUGAGGUGGAUUAACCUGUUAUGUGAGGGUUACACCAUUUUUAGUAGAGUCACCUGUUAUGUGAGGGUUACUCACAGAUUGUUCUUACCAGUGGUGCAAUAUUGACACCCUUCCGAGGUUAAAAAUUGGACCCCAACUUAGCUAUAUUGCAUUAUUUGGGGCAUGUCAGUUAGAUGACUACCUCCUACAGUUUUAGUUACAAAAUUAGGACUAUCAGAUAUAGUAAUUCAGUCUUAGUAAUAGAACUCAGAUAGUUCUACAAAAUUUAGGAUUGUCAGAUAAAGUCAACUCAGAAUAGCACGAAACUCAUAUAGUUUCAUCAAAACCUAGGCUGUUAGAUACAGUCGCUCUAUAUUAGUUAUUUUAUUUAUACAAUUAUGAAUAUCUCAUGUUAUCUGUACUCAGGCUCAGUAAUCAUGUUAUUGUCGAACUCAGUUACAAUUAUUAUGUAUUCAUGAAUGCAUUAACACGUUCAUGUUAUUCGGUCAGUUAGUAUAGUUUAUGUAUGUGAACCUUUUGCAUUUAGCCUACCUCACAUGCAUACCAGUAUAUUCAAACAUUAUGAUGCAUUUACGCUAUGAUGUUUUAUGCCAUAUGAUCAGAAGCACGAGCUCCAGAGCAUCAGUAGCAUUCCAGUCUCAAAAGUUAGAGUUAGCAGUGAGUCCUUAUCCUUCGAGGACAUGGCCAUUAAUUUAUUAUCUCAUUAAUUAAUUUAUUUCAGCAGUUGGAGUUAGUUGGGGACAAGUCCCACCUACUCCUUAUUCAGACAGUUUAGAGGCUUUCAGACUAGCAUGUUUAGACAGUUAUUGAUAUACCAUAUAUUCAGAUGUUAUGUUUUAUUAGAUAUUUUUACCUUAUGGACUUUCCCUUUAUUUCAAUAUUUAUACAGUAUAUUAUGCAGUGUAUAGGUAUAGAUAUCAGUCAUGGGUUAGCUUAUAGUCCUUCAGGAUCAUGAGCACCGUCUGGUAUUCUGGGUACCAGAUUCGGGGCUAUUCUUGCCUAUUUUUGGCUACAAGAGCACUAGCUAAAGAAGGUGCAGGCAUGAUAAAUGAUUCUGAACCUGCGAACGAUUUCCUCCUCCAGAUCUAUUCUGACCACGAUCAAACUGUCCUGUUCUAACCCUCUUAUUUACUCUCUCUCUCCUUUAUCUUUUCUACCUUAAUCUACUGAGCAUGAAUCAUUAAUCUAGAAAGGUCCAUGUCUCUAUUGAGCAUAGCAGUCCUAUACUCCUUAACUACUACUAUCCCAGACACACUGGCCACAAACUUACUCAUGCUUAACCUAGGGUCAGUCAUCUGUUUAGGGGCUUACUUAGACAACUGGUUGAACUUGAGACAAUAUUCUUUUACUAUUUGACAGCCCUACCUCAGGUUUAUGAACUCUUCUAUCUUAGCUUCCCUUAUCUUAAGUGGGAAGAACUUAUCUAAGAAUGAAUCUUAAAAUAUCUUCCAAGUCAUGGGGGGCUGCAUUCUCCCCUCUACUUUUCUUCCACAUCACUAGUCAAUCAAUAGAAACGUCCUUCAGACUAUUGGGUUCCAAUUAUACACUCUCUUCCCUAGAAACAUACAUAAUUUGGGUUAUCUUGUUUACCUCAUUAAGAUAAAGUUGUGGGUCCUCACCUGCCUUUGAACCAAAGAUUCUGGCGGGUUCAUUCUCAUGAAAUCUCGAAUUCUGGAUGUGGCAAACUCCCUAUCCUACUGAGGUGGUACUACAACCUAACGGUUUCCCAGAAUAUUAGUUGUCACAGCUUGGGCUAGUGCCUAAAAGGAAGCUCGAAACUCUGCAUGCGACACAUUCUCAUUCAAAGGAUCUGCGGGCUGAGGUGCUGGUUUUCAUUUCUACGGGCAUUAGCUUUGCGAGUAGGAAUUUUCUGUCAUGUGAAAGAAUGAGUUACAAGCAAAUAGAGAUAAUGAAUGCACGAUAGAUUAUGAAAGAAGAGAUGAUUCCCUAAAAUGCUCCAUAGCCUUUUGCUCAUAGAUGUGGUACAAUUUACACCGAUGAUCAAGACUCUGUAUAACACAACUUGUCUGACUCCGUAGGACUCUCUAAAUCUUAUUCUCUUAUAAAAGGUUUGUAACACCUCAAAAUCUGGUUUCUGGGAUGCCACACGAUGCUCCAAACUACAAGUAGUCCUGAUCUAACCCUUGCUACCUUUUCUAGAUCUGAAUCUCAAAAUAGGGAAAAUAUAGAUGAAUAAUCAUAAUAUAUGUGAAAAACUAUCUGAAUCUUCUGAGUAUAUUUGAAUGAUACUAAAUCUCAAAAGUCUAAUAAUACAAAUGUUCAAAAUCUAAAUACUAACUCAAAGGUCUAAAUAUGAAUCUAAUAGUCCAAUAAGCCUCUACUAAUAGGCCCUAGUUGACUAGAAUUUUUGAAAUGAGUAAAGACAUAUGUACUAGUAACUUGGAAAUCAAAAUAAGUAAGUCCUCGAACUAUGAGGACUCACCAACUGUAGGGAUAUAGAUAAGAUGCUCGAAGAUUAAUCACGCUGCUGAGACUGAGCACCUGAACCUACAUUAUGAGACAAUGUAACACAUAGACAUAUAUGUAGAUCAGUACUUUGAUGAUGUACUGAGUAUAUGGGGGUGUAUGCAAUAAGUAAAUAAUAUCAUCACAGUUUAUAAAAUCAUGCAUGUUAAAUGUAAAUGACUCACGUAAGCUUGAGUUAUCUGAAAUCUAAAAGUAAAGCAUGAAUAAUAAAACCUGUAAUCUAAAUCUUGUGAUUCAUCACACCUAGUUUGGAAAUCUGUAGUUCUGUUCUAUUUCACAAAUCACAUAGGCUAAGUGAAGUCUAAAAACUUAUUCUAUGUAUCUAAAGGCUUCAAAUAAAAAAAAACUAUUUAAGAGUUGAGGACAUCUUUUGGAAAGUUUUUUUAACUGACAUGUACACCAUAUUAGCAUCCACAGUUUCCCACGACUAGCCCCCGUAAGGUUAGAGUUGUUCUACCCUUUCCAUCAAAAUAGAACAAUCUAAUUUGUCUGAUCACAAUCUGAGUCAUCCACGUAGAAGUGGAAAUAAUCUAAUAAUAUUUACCUAUGGUGGUACGUAGUUCUGGAGUAUAAAACCAUAGUAACUUACCCAUCCCGGUGCUAAAUACUACUCCAUAUCUCAUGGUCAAAAUCUUAAAAAAUCUGCUUUAAAAUUUACACAAAGGUUUACAGAAAACCAAUUAUGUUUUACUUUUCUUUAAAUCUCAAAUCUUCUGAAAUAAAGUGGAUUCUUUAUCUAAAAUCUGAAAAUAAUCUAGUCAUCGGGUACUUAUAGCAUAAAUAAUCAUGAAACAACAACCUUUAAAUGAGGUCCAGUGACCCAAGCAUCAAUCUCAUGUUAAAACAUCUCAAAAUUCAUACUUGGUAAUAUAAACAUUCACAAAUCAUCUUAAAAUAGGGAAAGUACUGCACAAGGUAUAGAAAUAUGAAUAAAGUCAUGUAAUUCAACUUCUAAAUCAUGAGAAAUCUCAAGAUCUUGCAAAUAAUGAUAAUGGGUAUAAACCCUAACUUGAAUCUCAUGGAAAAUCAUAUAAAUUGCAGUAAAUUUGUAUUUAAAAUAAAGUUUUGGGCAGAAGGAUGAAAGAUUUACCUUUAUUUAAAUCCCACAUACCUUAAUUUGAUGAUCUAGAUGCUAGAACUUGAAUCUUGGAUCUCUAUUGAUGUUUUGGAGGUGGCUUCUUGGAGUUCUUGAAUUGCGGGUUCUCAAUCUUGAAUUGUCUUGGAGGAUUAAUGGAGGAAUUCGUAGUUUCUUAUAGAGGGAGUAUGAUGAACUGGGGUUUUGCUUUGAGGAGAAAGAUGUAUAAAGCUUAAAGUGCUUUGACAUUUGAUAAAUCUUCUAUUUUUGGAUGGAUUGAAGGUUGGGUAAUUUACCAAAAUUCCCCCUUUAACUUUUAAACGAAACUGGUAAAUGUAAUUUUUCCCGAUUUGGGUGGCCACCGUGACGCGCCACAAUCACAGUGGCUUACUGGAAAAAGGACGAGUGGGAAUUGGGUUCCCUCCACAAUGCGCCACCAUCGCGGAGCCCCUAAGUUUGUCAUUUUGACCACUGGUGCGACGCACCAGCAUCAUGGAGUGAUACUGAAAAUUGCCAAAUGGGAAAUUGCGCCUCUCCGCGAUGCGCCAAAAUUGCGAAGUGACACAGAAAAUUGACAAUUAUGAUUUUACGUUUCUCCGCGACGCGCUAAGGACCCAAAUCACAGUGUUUUACGACUAGAAAUUAAAAUAGCUAUAACUUCUUACCCGUUUAUCGGAUUUAGGUGAAUCUUAUAUCUUUGGAUAUCUAAUUCAAUUUCCUAAGUCAUGAAAAGUCAAAAUCUAAAGAAUUUCUCACGAAAUAAACGUCAUUCAUUCUAGAAACAACUCCUUGUCAUUUUUGGUAUAAUUUUAAGCUAGGAAAAAUUGUGGGGUAUUACAAUUUCCCAUGAAAUUGAAGUUAGGGUUUAUACCUAUUAAUUUUAUUUACAAGCUUAUGAAAUUUUCAAUGAUUUAGAAGUUGAAUUACAUGUUAUGUUCAUAUUUUCAUGCAUAUUGCUGAAAUUUCCAGAUUUUGAGUUGAAUUAUCAAUGUUUACAUUAUCAAGCAUACACAUUUUGAUGUUUUAAAAUGAGAAUGAUAUAUGGGUCAUUAUGCCCUUAUUUAAGAUUUCUAUUUAAAGAAUUGUUGUUCAAUAAGUACCCUAUGACUAGAUUCCUUUCAGAUUAUUGAUAAUGAAUUGACCUUUUGGUCUCAGAAUAGAUAUAAAAUCCACUUUACAGAUUUAGAUUAUAGGUUUAGCUUUACAGAUAUAUAGUUGGUUUUUAUUACAAACUAUUAGACUAAUUUAAAGUGGAUUUUCUUCAUAAUGAGCAUAUAGAUUUAAUGGGAGUAGUAUUUAGCACCGAGAUGGGUACGUUACUACGAUUUCAUACCACAGAACUACGUGCCAAUAUAGGAUUUAGAUUAUUUCCACUUUUACGUGGAUGACAGAUAUGUGACCACUUAGAUAGUUUAUACUCCUUGGCAAGAGUAUGACUCCGCUCCCCAACGUGAGGAUUCCUACUUAGGGGGACAAGAACGUUGGACUCCAUUAAUGCUUACAUGGUUUAUGUCGGUUAAGAGAACCUCCCUGCUAGCUAACAGAAAUGAUUAAUAGAAAAAUUUUUAGAUAAAAUAAGUGUAAAGACUCACAAACUUACUCAAAUAUUAUAUUACUUAAGAUUUCAUGUUACAGAAUUACAACUUUUAGUUUCAGACAUAAAAUCGUGAGCCCUUUUUCACUUAGCCUAUAUCAUUUGAGAAUAGAACAGAAAUAUAGAUUUUAGAACUAAGUGUUAUGACUCAAAAGAUUUAUAUUAUGUGAUUUACUGUUCAUGAUUUAUGAUUUUCAAAUUCCAGAUUACUCAAGCCGAUAUGAGUCAUUUACAUUUAGCAUGCAUGAUUUUAUAAAUUAUGAUGAUAUUGCAUACCUAUUGCAUUCACCACCAUAUACUUAAUAAAUCUUCAAAGUAUUGAUCCACAUAUAUGUCUAUGUUCUACAUUGUCUCAUAGUGUAGGUUCAGGUGCUCAGUCUCAGCAGCAUGAGUGAUUUUCGAGCAUCUUAUCUACAUCCCUGCAGUUGGUGAGUCCUUAUAGUUCGAGGACUUAGAUAUUUAGAUUUUUAGUUUAUUAGUAGAUGUUUGAUUAUUCAUUUCAUACAGUUGAGUCAGCUGAGGUAUGUCCCAGUGACUCUUUAGACUCAGUCAGUAGAGGCUUGUCGGACUACUUGAUUUAGUUUUACACUUUUGAUUCAGUAUUUGGAUUUUUUAGAAUUGUUUUACCAAGACCUGUGAGAUUAGUAUGUUUCAGAUAAAAUUUUUGGAUUUAUUAUGUUUUCAUAUUCAUAUUUCCCUUAUGUUAAGAUUUAGAUUAAAUAGGAAAGCAGCUAGGGUUAGCUCAGGACUACUUAUAGUUUGGAGCACCGCGUGGUAUUCCGGAAACUAGAUUUUGGGGCAUUACAAAUAUUGAGCAAAGAGAUGGUCUUCUCUAUGUUAAUGGUACAUUCCCAAUAUAUUGAAGAGGAAAAGGAUAAGGAUAAAGAGAGAGAAUAAAAAGUCUAGAACAGGUAGUUUUAAUUUUGUUCAACCGAGAUUAGAAGGUGGUAAUCGUUCCCAAUUUCUCAAAAAAUCUUUAGUUCUAACUUUAUCCUCAGCUAGUGCACAUGUUCCAAAGUUUAAAAAUAAAAAUUAGGAUAAGGCACCAGGCUCUAAGUCCCUGGGUAGUGUAAACAAUGCCCACACUAGUCCUCUCUGCCAGAAGUGUAGAAAGAAUCAUCAAGGGUGUGCAGUGCUGGUAGUGAUGUGUGUUUUAGAUAUAGAAAGACAGGCCACAGAAUGAAGGAAUGUCGACAGGUAUAUGGAAAGGUAGGAAUGAUAGUCAACAGGGUCAAGCUAAAUCUUUAGCCAGCAUCUGCAGGUCCCCCAACUCAUCAGGGCGCCACUUUGAGUGCCACCUGUAGGUAGCACCCAAACAGAAUUUAUGCACUUUUAGUCCCGACAUGAUCAGGAAAGUUCUUCUGAUGUAGUCACUAGUAUGUUACAGGUCUUUCAUUUAUAUGUAUAUGUUUUAUUGGAUCUUGGAGCUUCUCUUUCUUUUGUAACCCCUUAUAUAGCCAUCAACUUUAAAGUCAGUCCCAAAAUCUUAGUAGAGCGCUUCCUAGUAUCUACUCUAGUAGGUAAGUCUAUCAUAGCCUGAUAGGUAUAUAAGAACUGUCCGGUUAUAGUUUCUCAGAAAGUUACUUCAGUAGACAUUUUAGAGUUAGAAAUGAUGGAUUUUGACAUCAUUCUUGGCAUGGAUUGUCUCUAUUCAUGCUAUGCUUCAGUUGAUUGUAGAAAAAGAGUUGUCCAUUUUCAGUUUCUAAAUGAACAAGUCCUUGAAUGGAGGGGUAGUACUAUAACACUUAGGGGUCAACUUUUUUCAUACCUUUGAGUGAGAAAAAUGAUAUCUAAGGGGUGUAUUUAUAUUUUGGUUUGAGUCAAAGACUCUAAUUCAGAUACUCUUAAUCUCAAGUCAAUUUUAGUAUUGACAUCAUUCUUGGCAUGGAUUGGCUCUAUUCAUGCUAUGCUUCAGUUGAUUAUAGAAACAGAGUUGUCCAUUUUCAGUUUCUAAAUGAACAAGUCCUUGAAUGGAGGUGUAGUACUACAACGCUUAGGGGUCAACUUUUUUCAUACCUUUGAGUGAGAAAAUGAUAUCCAAGGGGUGUAUUUAUCUUUUUUUUUUGAGUCAAAGACUCUAAUUCAGAUACUUUUAAUCUCGAGUCAGUUUUAGUAUUAAGGGAAUUUCUAGAUAUGUUCCCUGAAGACCAUCCUGGAGUCCCUCUCAAAAGGGAAAUCAACUUUGGGAUAGACCUUUUCCCAGAUCCCAGCCCAUCUCUAUUCCGCUGUACAGAAUGGCUCUAACUGAACUUAAAGAACUAAAAGAAUAGUUGAAAGAUCUCAUGGAUAAGGGAUUCAUCAGGCCGAGUGUUUCUCCAUGGAGAACUCCAUUCCUUUUCAUGCAAAAGAAAAAUGGUUCUCUUAGAAUGUGCAUCGAUUACCAUCAGCUGAACAAAGUCACAAUCAAGAAUAAUUACCCACUUCACAGAAUCGAAGACUUAUUCGACCAACUUCAGGGUUCUAGUUAUUUCUACAAGAUAGACCACAGAUCCGGUUAUCAUCAACUCAGAUUUAGAGAAUGUGACAUCCUAAAAAUAGAUUUCAGAACUAGAUAUGGUGACUUCAAAUUUCUCGUCAUGUCUUUUGGUCUUACAAAUGCUGCAGCAGCUUUCAUGGGCUUGAUGAAUAGAGCUUUCAAGCAGUACUUGGACAUGUUCGUCAUAGUCUUCAUAGAUUACAUCUUUUUCUAUUCCCGUAAUGAAGAUGAUCAUGCAGACCACUACAAGAUAGUAUUGCAGACUUUUAGCCCAUCAAUAAUUUACUAAAUUUAAUAAGUAUAAAUUUCGCCAGAGAUCAAUAUCUUUUCUUGGCCAUAUCAUUUUUAGUGAUGGCAUUUGAGCUGACCCUCAAAAGACAGAAGCGGUGAGAAACUAGCCCAGAACUAUUCUUUGUUAGGUAUCAGGAGUUUCUUAGGUUUGGUUGGCUAUUACAGAUGGUUUUUUAAAGGGUUUUUGUCUAUUGCAUUUUCCAUGUCCAAAUUGAGUUAGAAGAAAGUCAAGUUUCAGUGGUUAGAUUCUUGUGAGAAGAGUUUUCAGGAGCUAAAGACUCGACUCACCACAACCCCAGUUUUGACGCUACCAGAGGGUUCAGAUGGGUUUAUAGUGUACUGUGAUGCCUCUAGAUUUUGUUUGGGUUGUAUUUGGUACAAAAAGGUAAGGUCAUAGCCUAUUCCUCUAGACAACUUAAACCUCAUGAAAAUAACUAACCUACCCAUGAUCUUGAACUAGCAGCUGUUGUGUUUACCUUAAUAAUUUGGAGGCAUUAUCUGUAUGGGGUGCACUUUGAUGUGUUCACAGACCAAAAAACCUUGCAGUAUGUGUUUUCACAGAAGGAUUUGAAUCUUCAUCAUAGAAGAUGGUUAGAAUUGUUGAAAGAUUAUGACAAGAGUUAUCUGUAUUAUCCAGCCAAGGCCAAUGUGGUGGCAUAUGCCAUCAACAGGUUGUCUAUGGGUAGUGUCGCUCAUGUUGAGAUUGAUAAAAAAGAACUAGGUAGGGAAGUCCAUUAGCUUUCCAGAUUAGGUGUUCGUUUGGUUGAUUCAGCUGAGGGUAAUGUUUCGGUACUACAUAGUUUGGAAUCUUCCUUGGUUGCUGAAGUGAAAGAAAAACAAGAUAAGGAUCCCAAUCUAGUUAAUUUGAAAGAGCCAAUCAGAGUCUAAAAAGUAGAGGUAUUCUCCCAAAGAGGAGAUGGUGCGUUGCAUUGCUAGGGUAGACUAUGUAUGCCAUGUGUAGAUGAUUCGAGACAGCAAAUUCUUGCAGAAUCAUAUGGUUCACAUUACUCUAUUCAUCCAGGGGCCACGAAGAUGUACCGCGAUCUGCACAAAAUCUAUUUAUGGAGUGGUAUGAAGAGGGAUAUUGCAGUGUUUGUGGAAAAGUUCUCCACGUGUUAACAAGUUAAUAUUGAACAUCAAAAGCCUAGUGGAUCUAUGUAGGAGUUCAGUAUUCCCACUUAGAAGUGGGGGGAAGUGAACAUCGAUUUUAUGACAGGUUUGCCUCGUACUCAUUCUCAGCAUGAUUCAAUUUGGGUCAUUGUCGAUAGAAUGACCAAAUCAGCCUAUUUCUUACUAGUCCUUACUUCUUAUUCAGCCGAGGACUAUGCCAAGCUCUAUAUUAGGGAGUUGGUUAGGUUGCACAGUGUUUCUCUAUGUAUUAUCUUAGAUAGAGGUACUCAUUUUACCUCUCACUUUUGGAAAACUUUUUAGAAUGGCCUUGGUACCCAAUUUUACCUCAAUACAGCCUUUCACCCUCAGGCAGAUGGUCAGGCAAAGAGGACCAUUCAGACCCUUGAGGAUAUAUUGAGAGCGUGUGUAGUUGAUUUAAGGGUAGUUGAGAUGAUCACUUGCCUUUGAUUGAGUUUGCGUAUAAUAACAGCUAUCAUUCCAGUAUUAAGAUGGCUCCGUUUAAGGUUCUAUAUGGGAGGAGAUGUAAAUAUCCAAUUGGUUGGUUUGAGCUAGGUAAGAUAGCUUUGGAAGGGCUUGAUUCGGUGUUUGGUGCUUUAGAGAAAGUUCAGUUGAUCUGGGAGAGGCUUAGGGCAACCCAAAACUAAUAGAAAUCAUAUGCAGAUAUGAGGAAAAAGUAUCUUAAGUUUGAGAUUGGUGAUUUUGUAUAUCUACAGAUCUCUCCCAUGAAAGGGGUAAAGAGGUUUGGUAAGAAGGGGAAGCUUAGCCCCCAAAAUAUUGUCCCUUACAGAAUUAUGAGCUGUUUUGGAAAGGUGGCUUAGGAGCUUGAUUUUCCUGCAGACUUAGCAUUAGUGCACCCAGUAUUCCAUAUAUCUUUGUUAAAGAAGAGUAUUGAUGACCCAACUGUAGUUGUCCCUUUAGAAAGCGUAGAUGUUCAAAAUAGCCUUUCUUAAGAAGAAGUUCCAAUCAAGAUCGUUGAUCAUCAUAUUCGUAGACUAAGGAAAAAAAUAAGUUCCCAUGGUGAAAGUUCAUUGGCAAAAUCAGUCUGUUUAGGGAGCCACUUGGAAAGGAAAAGCUGAUAUGCUAACUAACUACCCUCAUCUUUUCUCCGCAAACUCAGGCUCAGUUUAAGGUAACAACUUUUUUUCCCACUCUCUGUUCCAGCUAUAUUUUCUUCAUGUUAUUCCAUGCAUUCACAAGCCUGUUUAGGCAUGUGUCAUGUUUUAGACUCAAUUAUGUAAUCAGGUUUUCAGUGUGUAAAUUCAAAAUAUAAUCUCAAUUCCUCAAUUUUCUUAACUUAACCAACUUCAUUCGAGGACGAAUGUUCCCAAGGGGGACAAAAUAUAACAACUCCCAUUUUCGGUGAGUAACGACUUGGUGUGAUAGGUCAUCACUUGGUUGAUGAAUUAUCAACCAAGGUCGUCACCUUUAAAAUUCAGCAAUUCCCAUUCAAAUUUGGAGGGGUAUUUUGGUCGAUUCCCUCACCUUUCAUGACUUAGAUCAUCAAAAAUAUGUACUUAGCCAUCAUAAAAAAGUUUUAAAACUACUCUUAAUCCUAUCCACUCUCAAGAGAAAGAAAAUUAGGGUUUCCUUUAAAGAUCAUAUCCCAAAAACAAGAUUCAAGCUCUUCUUCAAGAAAAUGAAGAAAUUAUAAUUCCCAAUUCAAGAACGUUCAAGAAAAGUCAAUUCUCUUUCAAGAUCAAAGCCUUAAGGUAUGUUGGAUGUUAAUUCAUGGGUACUUUUAACCCAUGGAGUCCAAGAACCCAAUUUCAAAUUCAAAUUUAUGAUUUUACAUGAUUAUUAUGAUUUUUAACCAUGAAUUCCCAUGAAUUUCAAUUCUAUACCAUGCUUACACGUAAUUGUUGUUGUUAUUAAACCCUAAAUGUCUAAAUGGUUUUAUUCAUUGAAUUUAUCCUUAAUUGGUGAUUUUAUUAUUGAAAUCAUGUUAUUACUACAAGCUUUAAAACUAAACCCAUGCUUAGCUCAAACCAUGCAUUGCAAGUGUUCGAUGAAAUGCCUACAAGAAUGAGUUUUGAAUAAAUGCUUGUAUAUCAUGUCGUCAAAGAUUUAGUAUGAUCUAGCUAUUAUUGUUAUCGAGUCCUGGGGGUCUAAAUACCCAAAAUUUAGCUUCUUACCUAGUUUUCAGUAUCAACAGAAUGGUUUCAAGAUAGUUAUGAGCAUUAUCAGUUCAAAUAUUUAUUACAUUCAGUUAAACUUAGUUCAGUCUAAUAAUCAGUGUCAUUCAGCUGGUAGUAACACUUAGCACCGAGUGAUCGCAGGGAUGGUGUCUCCCCCGUCAGUUAGCUAUAAGGCACUAGUAUCAGUACCUAGGUUCCAGACCUACAACGCCAUCAUAGAUUUUGAGGAGUCCCCCGUCAGUUAGCCAUGACACCGUCGUCUUUUGGGACUUUAGAUUAUUGGAUCCACACAGCCACUGUUAGUACCCAUAGAAUGGUACUAACACCCUUCCAACUGGUAUUACAGGUUGGACCCUAAUAACAAAUUAGGGUAUGUCAGUUAUAGCUAGCUCCCACAGUCUCAGUCCAGAAUACAACUUAGUAAUUCAUUUUUAGUUUUGCUUGAACAUAGAAUACAUAUAUCAGGUACACAUUUACCAGUACUUAGUAUUUUAGUUUACAGACUAAAUUUAAUGUAUGUUUCAUUCUUGUUCAUGCAUUCUCAGUCUUUACAAAUUUCAUGCAUUUUACUCAAUACUUUAUGCUAUACAUACAGUCAGUUUCUAUGCAUGCAUAUGACACUUUGUAUAUUAGCCUAAUCUCAUUCAGCAUACCAGUACAUUGAAAGUACUGACCGCAUACUUAUUUUUUUAUGCUAUGAUGUCUCAUAUCAUAGGUUCGGACGCUCAGGUUCCGACCACACCUAGACCUCGCAGCGCAUCAGCAGUAGUAGCAGUGGUGAGUCCUCAUGUUCCGAUGACCGUCUGUGUUUAUUUAACUUCAGUUCAACAGUUAGUUGGAGUUAGUUGGGGACUUCUCCCAUAUACUCAAAAGUCAGUUAGUUAGAGGGUUUCAGACACUUUCAGUUGGUUAUUCAGUUAUCAGUUGUUAUUGAUGGUCUUACAGUAUUGUUUUCAGACAGGGGUUUUCGGUAUUUUGAUUUAGUAUUGUCCUCAUAGUUAAAAACUUAUGGAGUAUUUAGUUAAAUUCCAAACAUGUUUCUCUAUUAUUUUAUUCAGUGCUCAUAGAAGGUACCAGCAUGGGUUAGGUUGCGGGUCCUUCGGGGUUGUAGGCACCGUGUGGUGCCAGGGUAUACUCUCGGGGCAUUACAAUUAAUCUUCAUUGAUGGUAGAAAUAAACUCUAUCAAAAAUGGUGAAAACGUUAAAGCUGGCUCGGAAAUAAUGGUAAAUAAAAUAAAUGAAGUGGUUGGUUUACUAUUUUCUCUACACAAAAAGACUGUAUAAUAGACAACAUUUUCACUUAAUAUUUUAGAUUAUGAAAUCUACUAAAAAAUCUAAAAUUUUACUUAUUAAGUUUUACCUUAUUUGAAUUAUAUCUUAAAAUUUAGGACCUUAAAUCAAUCAAUACUCUUGUAUAAGCCAACUAAUUCAUAUCCACAAAGCUUCAAUGUUUUCUUUUCAAAAAAGAAUUUCAGACAUGUUUCAAAUCUUCUAGAAUUGAUAAGAUAUUUAUAAUUUCACAUAUAUGUUUAUAUAAAUGCCAAACUUCGACAAGCUUUACCACUUUUUUCUCCAG
RNAcentral lists this long non-coding RNA (21551 nucleotides) under Capsicum annuum. RNAcentral's name for it is "long non-coding RNA (CANN_LNC008404)". The record is from RNAcentral. Lineage: Eukaryota; Viridiplantae; Streptophyta; Magnoliopsida; Solanales; Solanaceae.